ACAACAUACUUUGAGAAGUAAAUAAUUAUUUUGAAUUAAUGUCCCAAUGUUGUCCUUAAAAACAGAAGCACGUUCCUGUCACUGCGCUAUAGUCUUCACUAGACCUCUCUAGCACAUGUUGAUCUGAAUUAAUUCUGCCCUGUUUAACCCCAAGAAUUUCCCAUGUUUGCUUUGUUCUUACACCCAUUUAGAGGGCCUCACAUUGGCCUCAGCCUCUACACUGUCUGUAUAUCUACAAGUCUUCCGGCAUGGUUUACUAACAGGAUACUGGUCCAGGCUCCUCCACUGUGUCAGCAGGCUGCACGGAGGCUUCUGAUUGGUCAGAAGUCAAAGGCUGUGAUGGAGGUUUUCAUCUUCUCCUUCGGGGUGUUUGGGCCAAACACCACGUUUCCUUCUGCAUCAGUCGAGUAUGAUGUAACCCCCAGGUCAGGUGUUACAUCUGUGAUCUCCAGCUGAGAGGAGAAAACUGGAGUCAGACGUCGCCAUGUAUUAAAAGCCCUUCUCUAACUAUAGAUAACCAUCACAGCAGCCGAUGAAUGGAGUCCUCUACUUACCUAGGACGUUCAGUGAGGUAAGACCUAUGACUGCCUCAGUGAUCCAGAUGACUCGAAACAUUCAUACACUAUCCAAAUUGAUAUUCACCUGAUACAUUAUUUAAGAUAAUUAUAUCUGAAAACACAAGGAAUGAUAUUGCUUCAUGUCGAGUGCAUUCUGAUUCUUCAGAUACUUUUAGCCCACUAUUUAAUAAGAACCUUCAUCAAUAUCAUUUCCACUUCAAUGUUUAAAAUAAUUUUCUAAAUAAGCCAAAGAGACAGCACUUAGUAGUUGGCCUACAAUAGUCCUGUUUGACAUUUUGAGAUAUACCUUUUCUUUCUGAGAGUAGAUCAAUAUCAAUAUCAUAUAACCUACAGGAGAAGUUAAGCUUAGAAUAACCCCGGUUUUCAGAGUAACAACUCACUUACCUUCAGAACAGCUUGAAUUUGUAUGUUCUGUCUGUGUUGCCUAAAAGUGUUUUAGAUUUUUUACAGAAUGAGAUGGAUUUUUCUCCAUGCUGGUGGUUUAUCUUCGAGGAGUCGAAGUCUACAUAUAUCGUGACUGGGAGUGAAAGGGAAGAGUCAACUGAAACAAAAGUGAAUAGUGAAGGGUGUAGACUUCAAACCAAAGUGAGACAACUCAAAGAGGAAGAGGAGAAAGAGGAAGUUGGGAAGUACAUGCUCAUUUUUAUUAGUCUAAUCAGGAAAGGAGUGUUGCAAAAACCAUUGUUAAUGAACAGUGAUCUGAGAAUCUUCAUUACAGUGGCAUCGUUAUCAUCACCAUAGAGGAGGCAUCAAAAUCACUAAUGUGAAGGGAUAUCAUAACAAUGGUGAAUUACAUAAAUAACAAUAAUGAGAGUGGGCAAACAUACAGUGUUCACUACUAACAGGGAGACAAUGGGAGUGAUGUCAUGUGCACAACAUUCAAAUGAUUGUGACUUAUUAUGAAACAGGGCUAAAUGUGAUGAAAUGCAUGUUUAAACCCAUUUGCAAUCAAUCAUACCAUGGUUAACCACUAAUGAUAAAGUCUAGAUUUGAAAAGACUGCUAUUGUCUACUUCUACAACAUUUUUGAGUAGACAUGAUGUUAGAUUUGUUAUUAUUGAGCAGAUGUGUAUAUGUUUUCUAUCAUUUUAACUCAACACCGCACUCUUUCUUAUCUUCUGUUGACAUUUCAUUUCAGACUCAGCACCUUUGAAUGCUAUAAUCUACACAUCUAACACAUCCACGUUUGUUUCUCUUUUUGAACUGUUUCCAGUGUUUGUUUUUUUUCAUUUAUACAUAUUUACGACAAGAUUUGGACCGCUUUUUUAUUUUUUCUUGCUGGCCGCCUCUUCAGGGAUGAAGACACUUACGGUGAAGUCCCCGCUCUCCGUGCCGUACUUGUUCUUCACCAGGAUGCUGUACUUGCCAGAGUCCGAGAUGUUCACGCCGGUGAUGGUGAAGCUGGCGAACUUGCCUGACUCGAACUUGAGAAUGCAGUGUUCGUCGGACGUGAUCUCCCUGUCGUUCUUCAGCCAGGUGACCUCUGGCACGGGGUCGCCCGAAAUGUUGCAGGUUUCCUUCCUCGUAUUCUCUACCUGAGCAAUUUCCAGUUUCAGCACUCCCUCGGUGAAGCCCAGAUUCUCGUCUGCUUUGAUCUCACGUCCGUCUUUGUACCACAGCGCAGAGAACAACGCAGCACUCUGGCGUCACCUCGUAACCCAAAUACUCGAUAAAGUGAGGACCUGGAAGAAAUACAGUUAUAGAAAUGGAAACAUUAAUCAUAAAUCAACAGUGAGUCCCGUAGAUCUGAAAUAUUUAAUUGAUUAAUAAAUGAAUUGCAACUCAUUUUGAGUCAAUUUAACGUAAAAGUGUUUAUUUCAAUCACAGUAUUUCUUUCAUAACCUGUGUUCAUUUGAAUCAAUAUGAAGAACAAAAACUAGCAGAGAGUUACUAUACAAAUAAUGAUCCAAAUGAAAUGUAGAUUACAGUCCAUUUGAGUUACAAUAACUUUUAAAGAAGAAACUGCUGUGUGUGUGAGGGUGCUUUAAAAAAUAACAAUGAUAGGGGAGUUGUCAAACUGAGUAAAGGAAGCCCAUUUUUAAAAGAGCCUAGUCUAAAAAGUAAGUUGAGGUUACCUCUUCCUGUUUGCUGAUUAUAAAACUUUGCUGGUGAAGGAUGACAGAAGAUAGGAAAUGACCUUGGGUGAAAUCAUUAGAGCCCUAUUGUUGGCUACAUUAAGUGUGUGUUAUUCCAAAGUUUUCUGUGUUAUAGCACCUCCAUGUGCGUGAAAUUGCAAUUACACAUGAUACCGUUUGAAUCAGAAACCAAUUAGAGACUUCUGUCUUUUCAUUACUGAUCAAUCAGCAAAAUCCUGUUAUUAUUAAUACUAUAGUGAGUGUCCCAUACCUUGCUUUCUGACCCACUCCUUCAUCUGGAACUCUGAUUCCUUCUGCAGCUCCUUGAACACUGCAAAUAAUAAGGGUUUAAAUUAUGAACAUUCAGUUUGAAACACUUCAUAUAACCGUCGUAUCAAACCAGGUGAUAUACAUGUGAGGUUGCUGUUAAAUUAGUUUAGAUUAUUGGAUAUGUGAUAAGGAUCAUCCCCAGGAUUUAUUUGUUUAACUGGACCUUACCAUCUCCUAUCAGUACCAAACUGGACUGGUUGGUAGCCUUUCCAUCCUGCAAUUUGAAGGUGAAGGUGCCCUCAUCAGCCGGAGUCAGACAGUCCAUGAUCAUCUCAAUCACGCCAGUGUUCUUGUCAAAGUUGAGCUUGUAUUUCUAUAAAACAAAAACAACGUUUAAGCUUUCAUCAGCAAAAUAAAUAACACAAAAAGCCCAAUGUUUAUUAUUAAUACAAACUAUUUACUGACAUCCCCCUGAGAGAUAAGGUUAUCAUUGAAGAUGUAUUCGACUUUGCCGUUUGCUGACAUCUUGUCCGCCUGCAGCCAAAAGCGAACUUUGCCCUUCUCCAGCAGCUCCACAGCCAACCCUGACUUUAGGGGAAUAACUAUUUCGGAGAAAUAGUUAGGGCAAACUCAAAAUAGUUGGUUCAUGACAUACUUAGAAAACAUCUGUGAUGACAUGCUGAUACACUCACCGGGGAACUUGUGGUCAUGGCUGACCUCCAGCAGCCUCUUCAACUCUGACAAAGAUAUGACAAAGAGAUUUAUUAAUGGAGGAAAAAGAGCAGAGAGCUUUCCUAUAUUCUAUUUUAUUUUUAAGCAUUGUGACCCACCUUCCUCAGAGAGAGUGUAGCUGGAUGAAGCACCAUCAGUGUGGGUGACAAUACAUGAGUAAAUACCAAUGUCUUCCUCCUCAGGAGUGUUGAAAAAGGCUUUGGAUCUGCAAUCCAACAAAGGGGUAAUAAAUACUAAGUGAUGUUGUGUUAAUCAAAAUAAAAAAAGUCAGCUCACUUGUUUCCCUUGGUCUCUAUUGUCAGACGGGAUGUUUCUGCUAUUUCCUCGUAAUCCUUUGACCACACAAAUUUGGAGUCGGGGGUCAUGUCACAGCAUUCAAAGUUCAGGGAGAUGAUACCGUCAUCGUCAACAUCCACUACGAUCUCCUUAGUGCCUGAAAACCCAAAGAUGCUGGUGUUACAGCUUGAAAUGAUGACCUCGUCAUCAGCAUCACAUCCAACGUUUCCCCUACCUGGUUUAGUGACAGCUACGACCGGCUCUGUCUCCU
Eleginops maclovinus (Patagonian blennie) is the source of this 4201-nucleotide long non-coding RNA. RefSeq lists it as uncharacterized. Lineage: Eukaryota; Metazoa; Chordata; Actinopteri; Perciformes; Eleginopidae. The transcript is spliced from 5 exons. The record is from RefSeq and is a predicted model, not a curated record.